RNAcentral lists this ribosomal RNA (253 nucleotides) under uncultured bacterium. Its description in RNAcentral is "partial 16S ribosomal RNA". It matches the Rfam family "Bacterial small subunit ribosomal RNA", at positions 524 to 776 of the family's 1533-position model. The record is from RNAcentral.
UACGUAGGGCGCAAGCGUUAUCCGGAUUUAUUGGGCGUAAAGGGCUAGUAGGCGGUUUGUCGCGUCUGCCGUGAAAGCCCGGGGCUUAACCCCGGAUCUGCGGUGGGUACGGGCAGACUAGAGUGCAGUAGGGGAGACUGGAAUUCCUGGUGUAGCGGUGAAAUGCGCAGAUAUCAGGAGGAACACCGAUGGCGAAGGCAGGUCUCUGGGCUGUAACUGACGCUGAGGAGCGAAAGCAUGGGGAGCGAACAGG